This 450-nucleotide ribosomal RNA is filed under the name Bacillus sp. (in: firmicutes). RNAcentral's name for it is "bacterial SSU rRNA". It matches the Rfam family "Bacterial small subunit ribosomal RNA", at positions 56 to 489 of the family's 1533-position model. The record is from RNAcentral. Lineage: Bacteria; Bacillati; Bacillota; Bacilli; Caryophanales; Bacillaceae.
UGACAGUCGAGCGGACAGAAGGGAGCUUGCUCCCGGAUGUUAGCGGCGGACGGGUGAGUAACACGUGGGUAACCUGCCUGUAAGACUGGGAUAACUCCGGGAAACCGGAGCUAAUACCGGAUAGUUCCUUGAACCGCAUGGUUCAAGGAUGAAAGACGGUUUCGGCUGUCACUUACAGAUGGACCCGCGGCGCAUUAGCUAGUUGGUGGGGUAAUGGCUCACCAAGGCGACGAUGCGUAGCCGACCUGAGAGGGUGAUCGGCCACACUGGGACUGAGACACGGCCCAGACUCCUACGGGAGGCAGCAGUAGGGAAUCUUCCGCAAUGGACGAAAGUCUGACGGAGCAACGCCGCGUGAGUGAUGAAGGUUUUCGGAUCGUAAAGCUCUGUUGUUAGGGAAGAACAAGUGCGAGAGUAACUGCUCGCACCUUGACGGUACCUAACCAGAAA